RNAcentral lists this long non-coding RNA (6791 nucleotides) under Trifolium pratense (red clover). The record is from RNAcentral. Lineage: Eukaryota; Viridiplantae; Streptophyta; Magnoliopsida; Fabales; Fabaceae.
AUGGCUGCGCUUUGUCCCGGACAAGAUGAAUGCUCAAUUGCCAUCUACCUCACUGGUUUUCAACAAGCGGUACGUAAUUUGUUCCAACUGCAUCAAAUACUUCUUCACUCAUUUAUAUGCUUUCUGAGUUUCAUGUAUAAUUAUUGCGUUCCUUGUUACUUGUUAGUAUUGCAUUUCGAUUAAUUAAUUGUGUUGUGUCCUAUUUUAAGAUACUUAAUUAAUAUUUAAGUAUUUGAAAUUAAAUUCUCACAGCUAGAUUUUUUUUUUAAUUUUAAAAAGUACGUCAAAGUUUGUUAAAUUAAUACUCUCAUAGCUAGAUUAGAUAAAUGGCCAUGAUCCCAUGAAUCGGUGAUGUUUGUUUUUGUUUUAAGAAUAAUGCUAGCAACACACUCUUUAACAAACACACUCUAACACACUCUCUUUUAUUGAUUGAAGCACUCCUCUUAUAAAAAAAUAAAUUCAUAUUUCGGUCGCAAGGUAAGAAUUGUUUCCACCCGUGUCUUUAAUACGAGUCUUCAUAAAAGAGAGUUUAUUAACUACUCACAAUUAUUUUAUUGAAAAAAAAAAUCACCAUAUAAUCUUAUCCUCAAUUAUAUCAUUGCAUUGCAUAUAUAUUAAAACAAGAGGAGUGCUAGCAACACACUCUUUAACAAACACACUCUAUUCUAUUGGUUAAAAUUUAUAUGGGUCCCAUAAAAAUUAUAUGGGUCCACAUUUUUUUAUGGGACCCAUGUGAAUUUCAACCAAUAAAAGAGAGUGUGUUAGAGUGUGUUUGUUAAAGAGUGUGUUGCUAGCAUUAUUCUUUUUUAUAAUAAAAUAAUUGUGUAUAAAUAAAAAUUAUGAUAUAUAUUGUUGAAUUAGAUAUCAAAUUUUCAUUUUUCUUGAUCGUAAUAAACUUAAGAUAUACUCCAUUCGAACCCACUUGAGUUGGUCUGGUGGUAUUGGUCUGGUGGUAUUUUUCUUAAGGUCUCAGGUUCGAUUCUCUCUAGUGCCAAUUUGGGUGAGUUAAUUUAGCUUUUUCAAAAAAGAUACUCUCCAUUCGUACCAUAAUAUAAAUUGUUUUAACCAUAUUACACAAAUUAAAAAAUGUUAUUAAUGUUAUACGUAAAAGAUAAAUUAUAAGUUAGUUCAUAAAAUUGUCCUUCAUUAAUAAAACUUGUAUUCUAACCAUUAUACAACUUGAAAAAAAUAAAAAUUUAUCGUCACAAAAUCAAACAUAAACUAUGUUCAUAGUGAAUGGACAAAAUAUUCUUCCUCCAGAAAAUUUUGUUUUCCACAAAUAUUGAGACAAAAGUUUUGAUAAGAAAAAAAAAAGACAAAAGAGUACAACAAAGAAACUUCCUUAGGAGUUAGGAAUAUUUUGGGAGAAGAAUUUAAAUUUUAAUGGUUAUUGGGCUGAUUAUUGGAUCAAGCUGGAGGUAGUUUCCAACUUAUAUUUUAUUGGGCCCACUGGAAAUAUCAAAAAUAAAACAAAAGAAAAAUUAUACUCCACAUACACCCACACCUAUUCCACUACCCCCACAGUAAAAAGAAAGAAAGGAAUAAUGAUUCUAUUUUACACUUUUAGAUUUUAACUAAUUUAUUUUUACAAUUUUAUUGAAUUCUAAAAUAAAUUAAGUUGUUAUAAAUAAUUUUAUUUUUUUUUGGGAAAACUCAAAUUUUGAAUUUUCCAGAAAAUUAAAUUGUCUAGAAUGUGACAUUUUCUAGUUUUUAAUACUUAAAUUAAAUUUUCCGAAAUUCUGGAUAACUCAAAAUUCAAAACCUUUUUUCUCAAAAUUAUGGUAAAUUUAAUAUUUUUGGAACAUAUUUUGUUGGGAAUAUUUAAAUUCUAGCUUGUUUGAAGAGAGAAAUUUUCCAAUACUUAUUAUGAAAAAUGAAAAAUAAUUGUUGCUUAUAUAUAAGACUGAAGAGAGUAUACGCAAUACUUUAUUUCCUCGUGUUCACGCGGAUGAAUAAGUAUGUGACUUGUGCAGAUGAUAGGAUUGGGAACGCUUGUGACGAUGCCCCUUUUGGGUAGUCUCUCCGAUAAGUAUGGGAGGAAAGCUAUUCUCACACUUCCUAUGACCCUCAUGAUUAUUCCCUUGGGUAAUUUUUCAUUCACUUUCUUCCACUUGUUUAAUUAAAUGUGGCUUCUUUUUUUUAUUAAAAAAAAUAAUAAAAUUACAGUGAGACGAUCGUACCCUAGUCCAAGUCUAUCUUUUUACUAUUAGAUCAAACUUAAUAGUUGAUACGACUUAUUUUAUCAAAUGUGCAACACAAAUUAUAAUGACCUUAAAUUAAUAAUCACUAUCAAAUUAUAUGAUUAUGCAUUGGUGGUGAUGGUUUCACAGGGAUAUUAGCUUACAGUAGGACAAAAACAUUCUUCUAUGUAUAUUACGUGUUUAGGAUCAUCAUUUUCAUGAUCUGUGAUGGAUGCAUUCCUUGCCUCGCUCUAGCUUACGUUGUAAGUCUUACAGACAUUUUGUAUCCAAAUUCAAAAUUUACAAUAUAUGUACCUGCUAAUUAAAUCUAAAAAACCAAUUAACUUAGUCUUAUUUUCUUUAAUUAUGAUAUUAUGAUAUAUAAUACAGGCAGAUAAUGUUCCAGAAAGUGGGAGAAGCACUGCUUUUGGAAUUCUUUCAGGGAUUGGAUCCUCUGCUUUUGUUUGUGGUACACUAGCAGCUCGUUUUCUAUCUACUGCUCAAACUUUUCAGGUGUUUAUUUCUUCGAUUCAAGAUAAUUAAUUACCAAUGAAUGGAGAAUAAUUUAUGACUUAUCAAUUGUAUUUUCUCUUUUAAUAAUAAGGUUUCCACUUUUGCUGCGGUGCUCGGAGCAGUUUACAUGCAAAUUUUCCUUCGAGAUUCGGUCAUGGAUCAAAACAACGUCCUUUGUACCCCGAUCAUUUCACAGGGAAAGCCAAUAAUUUCUUGUAAAUCGAAAUCUAACAUGCCGUUGUUGAAAGCAUUGCGAUCUUUGCAGGAUCUAACAUCUUUCCUCAAUAGUAGGUAUGUGAAUAUUUGAUUUUUUGUAGAAAAUUAAAUACAUCUUUAUGAAUGAGUAUUUUAGUUUUGUGUAUGUAAUAAUUAAUAGUUAUACAUGGAUUAUCCAAUUUGCAGCAAGAUUAUCACUCAAGCAGCAAUUGUUGCAUUCUUCAGUAACCUUGCAGAUGUUGGUUUUCAUGGUUCAAUGAUGGUAUUUUCCAAUUUUCUCCCUUAUUAUACAUAUAAUCUUUAAUGUUUUGUAUAAUGUUCAAGUUUUGAUAUUUGUUUUACAUGAAUUAGAACUAGUAAUUUAAAUUUAAUUAACACUUUAUUCUUCUUGUGCAGUAUUACUUAAAGGCUCAGUUUCAUUUUGAUAAGAAUCAUUUUGCUGAUUUAAUGAUCAUUUCUGGUAUUGCGGGGACUGUAUCACAGGUAAUUUUUGCAAUGCCUUAUCUUAGUUUUCCUUUUGUCUCGUCGAAUCUUUAGUUUCUCUGAGUUUAUUGUAAAUAUUAAUAUUGAACAUCGAUUAUCACAGCUUUUUCUUAUGCCGAUUUUUGCUCCUACUUUGGGUGAGGCAAGACUUCUUUCGAUCGGACUAUUUUUUCACUUUUUACAUGUAAGCAUUUUUUUCUUCUUGUGAAGUUAUAUAAAAAGAUACAAUUUUAUAAAAUUCUAAAUUGGUGAUAUUGAAUGGAAUGCAGAUGUUCAUUUACAGCAUAGCAUGGUCCUCCUGGGUAUGUCUUUUGCUACUCUAUUGUUAAUUAGUUAUAAUUAGUCGAACUUGCGCAGUUUAUUUGAUUACUUUUUUAUGUAUGCUUCUAGUGUCCCUUCGGGGACAUCCGAUAAAAUUGAAACGACACAGAGAAUAUUAGCAUGACCCCUGCGCAAGGAUGACACGCACAAAUUGAGCCUCUAGUGUCCCUUUUCACUUCCGCCUUCUGUUUUUAUGUUUUAUUAACUGCUAAUGUGUACAUGUUGAUAGGUUCCUUAUGCUGCUGCAAUGUUCUCAAUUUUGUUUGUUUUUUCACAACCAUGUGUGAGUUUCUUUCCUCAUUUUAUAUAUUUUUCAUUUAAAUAUGGAUUUUCCCCUUUGAUUGUCAAUGAGUUGUUUCUUGAAAACAUAAUUUUGAUUAAUUUACUCUUUCAAUUUUUGUAGAUACGAAGUAUUGUGUCUAAACAAGUUGAUCCACACGAGCAGGUAUCAUUUUAAUUGAACACUUGUAAUAUUUUUGUUACAUUAUUAGAAUUAUGUCAUCAUUUUUUUAUUAAAUCAUAAAAAUAGGAAAAAGUUAUGCAUAAAAUAUAGUGAAUUUUUGUUAAAAGAAAAAAUGCAUGUAAAAUUUUGAUGAUUAUGCUCUUUACUAAUUACAAACCAAAUUUUAAUGAAUGAUCUUUAUUUUUUCCUCCUCGAUUAUCUUCUCGUAGGGAAGAGCUCAAGGUUGCAUCUCAGGCAUAUGUUCAAUUGCUCAUAUUGUAUCUCCCUUGGUUUUCUCUCCAUUAACGGGUGAGUGAAUGUGAAGGUCAUUUUUUUCUCAUUAGGUUUAUAUCACCAUUACCAUAGAAAAUUAUUAACAAGAAGUUAUUUCAAUUUUCAGCUCUAUUUUUAUCUGAAAAGGCGCCUUUUAGUUUUCCUGGCUUCAGUAUAUUGUGUAUUGGAAUUGCUUCGGUAAGAACUUCUAGUUUUAUUUAUAAUAUUGUUGAAUUUGUUGUGAAUAUUUUUACAGUUCUUUGUAGUCAAAAUGAAUGUCCACAUAAAGUACAUGAACAUAAUAUUGUUUUGCUUAGCAUAGUUUUUAUUAACUUUCUCUAAUUUCUUGGUAAUUGUAGAACUCUUCUAUCAAUUUUCCUGUGGCAAUUUAUAUGAUCAAAUUUUGUUUGCAGAUGAUAUCUUUUUUUCAGAGCAUGAUGCUCAGAGUGGUUCCUCCCAUUUUGAGUUAGAUGGACAUAGUUGACUUCAACCCUAAUUAUUUAAAAAGAUGGUGAAUACUCGCAUAAAGUGGAAUUCUUCUUUAUUUGUAGGAGUUUUGUGUCUUCAAUUGUAUUUAGAUGAUGAAGCAAUGUGUUGAAUUGAAUAAGCAUAUUCGUAUACGGAAAUGUUUCAUGAACACAUAUUUAAAACACAUACCCAACAAAUACAUGGUUGGUAUACCAUUUUCAUCUUUGAAAUAAUACAGUAAUAUAUUUUCUUUCUCGGUUUGCAUACACACUCUUUUUCUCUCUUAUAUUUGAUAUUGUCAAAUACUUGUCGAUCAGAAUUGUGUUCAAAUAGCAUGCCUCGUUUGCGGUAUAACUAUAAGUAUAUACUUGUUAAGCUUUUCUAUGUCCUUACUAGUAAACAUCUUGUGGCACCAAAGAAAGACACAAAUAAAUUUUGAAUUAGUAAAUAAAAAUAAUAAACAUGUAUUGGUAUAUAUUAAGCAUCUAUUGCAUAUUUCAUUUUUGGGUUAGAAUCUCUCCAUUUUCCAUUAUUUUCAUUUUUUUAUUAUUAUAUAAUUUUGGAAAUAUUAGCUCAAAUCACUUUUAUACACCUCCAAAAUAUUUAAAAAUUUUAGUAAUGAAAAAAAUGAAAAUAAUUUAAAAUUUAGAGGAUCUCAACUCUUUAUUUUUAGUAAGAAAAUUUUGUAGCAUAAUUAUAUACAGUGGCGGAGCCUGGGCAAAAUUGAGAGCUUGAAAGAAGAGAGACAGAACAUACCAAAUAAUGGACAUUAAGCUGGAAUUGUUAGCCUUUUAGGGUUUCAAUUUCAAAGAAUUUUCGAUCAAAAAUAAGAAAAAAAGCUAUAGACAAAUUACCAAAGUUUUUGAUCUUAUAAACAUAAUUUUAAUAAAAAAACAACACAUUUGGUUACUGAAAAACUACAUUUUCACAUUGUUUUAAGAAAUAUUUUUUAUCUUUAUUUUACAUCCGGUCCAAAUAUAUAAAUAAAAGGUAGCUUCUUUUACUUUAGGUUGAAGAAUUUGAUAUCAAUUUUACACUAAAAUAACAGUAAAUUUUAUACCAAAUUACACUAAACUUAUAUCAACUUUGGUUUCAAUGGAAAAAUGUUUCAAACAUGAAUGAAUUCGCAAUAAAAUCCAUUUUAAUCAAAUCAAUUUCAUAAUACUUCAUUAAAAAUCACACAUUAAUCAAAGGUUAACCAAAAUGUACUUGUUUCCCAGUGAUCUCCUUUUGUUUGUACUUGUUUCACCCUCAAUUUUGCAGUUCAAAAAAAAAAAGGUUAACCAAAACUCAGUGCAACAUUUCAAAAUGUAGAUCAAGUAAGGGGCAAAAACACAAAUUGAAUAAAUUACCAAUCAAAAAGAAAAAAUUGUAGAAAUAAAUACCUUGUUAACAUUGAGAUUUUGAGGCCCAAAAAUCGAAGAAAUUUGUGGAAAUGAUAAAACAUUUCCAAUGAAGAAUCAAAACUUUUUGGUCCCAAAUUCACAACACCAGAGUCUCAUCAAUUUAUAUCAAAAUUUCAUCACCUAAAAAUUGAAAACAAGGGGUCAAACAGAGUUUCAUCAAAUUGAACACAAGUGCCUGAAAUUGAAAACAAGGGGAACAAACAAACAAACAACCCUUUAAUUUCAAGUCUCAACCAACACAAUCAAUUGCUACAAAACCCCCUUCAUAAGAAUUCUAUUUUGAUCUAUAUGCCACAUAAAAGCAAUUUAAUCAAAGGCAUCCAAAAGCAAUUACCUCCUUUGAAGCCUACGGCGACGACAGUGUGGCGGAUGAGAAGGAGAUUCUCGAUCUAUGGCGUCAAAGACGAAGCAAGGCAACGGGAUGAGAGAUUAAGAGGACAGUGAUGACGAGGAGAGGACGCACGCGGGAAGAGAAAGUGAAAACCGUCG